This is a long non-coding RNA of Thalassophryne amazonica, 95 nucleotides long. RefSeq lists it as uncharacterized. NCBI's taxonomy places the organism in Eukaryota, Metazoa, Chordata, Actinopteri, Batrachoidiformes, Batrachoididae. The transcript is spliced from 3 exons. The record is from RefSeq and is a predicted model, not a curated record.
GAACGCAAACAGGGGACAGAAAAGCUCAGAGCACAGAGGGAGUGUUGUUUCAGUCUUUGCACAGGACACCAUUAUAUAUCUGAAUGUUUUCACAG